UCAGCCCCGUCUGUCCGUGUCUCCUGAAGUUCUCACAGAGAGAGGAUCAGUGCAGAUUCACUGUCAUGUUCCAGACAAUGUUAAAGUGUCUCAGUGUCAGUUCUACCCAGAGAGAGACAACACAAAUCUAAAACUCUCUCCAUCAUGUCAGCUCUCAGUCUCUGGUUCUGAACUGAUCUGGUGGACAGGACGAAGUUCUCCUGGAACACUUCAUAUUACUUGUUACUACGCUUUGGAUAACUCUGUUCGUACUCCUUCUCCUCACUCUCUCCCAGCUCCAGUCACAGUGCGGUAUCAGAAACCGAGACUAAGCGUCAGUCAUGAUGGUCAGUUUGAUGAAUUGAGAUUUGUGUGUGAAAUAUCAGGGUCAGAGUCAGUAACUGCUGAUUUUAGCUGUAAUCUCUACACUGGAGAAAAUCCUCAGCUUUUCCUAAUCCAAAGAUCUCAAAACGGAAAAUCUGUGAAGGUUUGUAUUUUUACAGCACAGAGAGACGCUGUGUUUAAUCGUCUGCAGUCAGUAAAGAGUCGUGAAGUGAGCUGUGAUUAUUCACUGAUCUCUGACCCGACUGUUCGCUCUCUAAUGAGUGAUAAACACAACAUGAUGCGUAAGUUAUAAUAAACAAAUUAUGUAUUCCAUUACUUUAUACCUUUGAAUAAUUUGAACUCAUUUUCACUUCAUCUUUUGUCAGAUUUCUUUACAACAACAACAACGACUCAGACAUCCACUCCUGAAGAGAAACCCAGUGCAGAUUUGAGUCUGGUAACGACGCCACCAUCCACAGCUACGGAGGAAUCUACAGCAGCUUCUCCAGUUUUUUCAACUCCUCUGAUCACCACAAGACACACAGCGACUCGAUCGCUGCCUACCGUACUGUUAGUCACCGGUGUGUGUGUUUUACUGGCUGGACUGAUGAGCUUCUGUCUCUGCGUGUGUAUAUCUGUGUGGAUUAUCUUCAGCAGAUGUAAAUUGAACACGACCCACCGUGAUCAGGACGGUGAUGAGGUUUACACAGAGGUGAUGUACACACUCUUCUCUCAGCAGUUCUCAGAGGAAACACAGCUCCUUUCAGCUUCCUCUGAAUGAUGGACACUGAACAGCUUCUGUCUUCUGUCUCAGUUUAAAGUCUGAACUCAAUAAACUCUUAUUUGUUAAAUAACACAAAUGUUCCUAACAAUUCAUUUGAUUCUCAUGAAUGCUUGUCACAGUCUGCCUUUAUCAUGAACCGUGUGUUUUCUAAAGGAAAUCUGCAGGGUGAACUAUUUUACUGUUGAAUUUGAAACGCACAAUAAAUCAUUUAAUCAGAGAUGCACUUUAAAUCAUCCGAGUAUUGCUUCUUUAUCUUUUAUCUUCUUAUACAGCCUAUCUGUGUGGA
Long non-coding RNA from Ictalurus punctatus (channel catfish), 1373 nucleotides. RefSeq lists it as uncharacterized. Lineage: Eukaryota; Metazoa; Chordata; Actinopteri; Siluriformes; Ictaluridae. The record is from RefSeq and is a predicted model, not a curated record. The transcript is spliced from 6 exons.